Molecule: long non-coding RNA, 421 nt
Filed under: Helianthus annuus (common sunflower)
Lineage: Eukaryota; Viridiplantae; Streptophyta; Magnoliopsida; Asterales; Asteraceae
Description: sRNA HanXRQr2_Chr13g0594921
Source: RNAcentral
UUCUUAUUCUUAUUAUAAUAUAAUGUCAAAACUCUUAAAACUGUUACCAUGUAACAUAUCAUAUAGCCUGCUUGAAUUUGAAUCCCAUAUAACCUGAGUCCACAAAGGUACAAGUCUCAACGAAACCGAAACCAUUUCAAAACUGAAACACAACUUCACGAACAACCACUCGAUCCCAAAACGACUAAAGUUGUUCAUUCAUCGUCUGUCCCAAAAUAUCGGUCUCCAAACUCUCCCAUCCCCGGAAGCACACGAAACUCUUGAUUCAACCCCGUUUCUAUCUCUGAUGUCACAAUCUUUAUUCUCGGAAACCGUUUGCACACUACAUGCACUCCUUGUGGUGCCUAGAUUAGAUUCAAGAAUAUGAUAUUGGCCUCGGGUACCCCUUUCUUUAGAAGCAAUGAAAUAGCCUGAACGGCUG